RNAcentral lists this transfer RNA (73 nucleotides) under Hofstenia miamia. Its description in RNAcentral is "tRNA-Phe for anticodon GAA". It matches the Rfam family "tRNA". Rfam says of the family: Transfer RNA (tRNA) molecules are approximately 80 nucleotides in length. Lineage: Eukaryota; Metazoa; Xenacoelomorpha; Acoela; Hofsteniidae. The record is from RNAcentral.
GCCGCGAUAGUUCAGUUGGGAGAGCGUCAGUCUGAAGAUCUGAAGGUCGUUGUUUCGAUACCGGGUCAGGGCA